RNAcentral lists this ribosomal RNA (301 nucleotides) under uncultured bacterium. Its description in RNAcentral is "partial 16S ribosomal RNA". It matches the Rfam family "Bacterial small subunit ribosomal RNA", at positions 509 to 807 of the family's 1533-position model. The record is from RNAcentral.
CAGUAGCCGCGGUAAUACGUAGGGUGCAAGCGUUAAUCGGAAUUACUGGGCGUAAAGCGUGCGCAGGCGGUUCGUUAAGACAGAUGUGAAAUCCCCGGGCUUAACCUGGGAACUGCAUUUGUGACUGGCGGGCUAGAGUAUGGCAGAGGGGGGUAGAAUUCCACGUGUAGCAGUGAAAUGCGUAGAGAUGUGGAGGAACACCGAUGGCGAAGGCAGCCCCCUGGGCCAAUACUGACGCUCAUGCACGAAAGCGUGGGGAGCAAACAGGAUUAGAUACCCCUGUAGUCCCUGUCUCUUAUAC